CCUACARGGAGGCAGCAGCGGGGAAUCUUGCGCAAUGGGCGAAAGCCUGACGCAGCAACGCCGCGUGGGUGACGAAGGCCUUCGGGUUGUAAAUCCCUUUUGCCGGAGACGAAGAUCUGACGGUAUCCGGCGAAUAAGCCACGGCUAACUACGUGCCAGCAGCCGCGGUAAUACGUAGGUGGCGAGCGUUAUCCGGAUUUACUGGGCGUAAAGCGUACGUAGGCGGCCCCGCAAGUCUGUCGUGAAAUCUCCCGGCUCAACCGGGAGGCGCCGAUGGAAACUGCGAGUGCUCGAGGGGCGUAGACGCAAGCGGAAUUCCCGGAGUAGUGGUGGAAUGCGUAGAUACCGGGAGGAACACCAGUGGCGAAAGCGGCUUGCGAGGCGCAUCCUGACGMUGAGGUACGAAAGCGUGGGGAGCGAACCGGAUUAGAUACCCGGGUAGUCCACGCCGUAAACGAUGGAUGCUAGUCGUGGGGGGUAUCGACCCCCUCCGUGACGAAGCUAACGCGAUAAGCAUCCCGCCUGGGGAGUACGGCCGCAAGGCUAAAACUCAAAGGAAUUGACGG
RNAcentral lists this ribosomal RNA (566 nucleotides) under uncultured bacterium. Its description in RNAcentral is "bacterial SSU rRNA". It matches the Rfam family "Bacterial small subunit ribosomal RNA", at positions 338 to 916 of the family's 1533-position model. The record is from RNAcentral.